UCGAGAAUCUUCGGCAAUGGACGAAAGUCUGACCGAGCGAUGCCGCGUGCGGGAUGAAGGCCCUCGGGUUGUAAACCGCUGUCAGUUGGGAGGAAGGGUCUGUGAAGAGCAGACUUUGACCUAUCUUCAGAGGAAGUCCGGGCUAAGUUCGUGCCAGCAGCCGCGGUAACACGAACCGGACAAACGUUAUUCGGAAUUAUUGGGCUUAAAGGGUGCGUAGGCGGCCAUGUAGGUGGGGUGUGAAAUCCCUCGGCUCAACCGAGGAACUGCGCUCCAAACCACAUGGCUAGAGGGAGACAGAGGUAAGCGGAACUGAUGGUGGAGCGGUGAAAUGCGUUGAUAUCAUCAGGAACACCAGUGGCGAAAGCGGCUUACUGGGUCUCUUCUGACGCUGAGGCACGAAAGCUAGGGUAGCGAACGGGAUUAGAUACCCCCGUAGUCC
Molecule: ribosomal RNA, 442 nt
Filed under: uncultured prokaryote
Description: bacterial SSU rRNA
Rfam family: Bacterial small subunit ribosomal RNA
Source: RNAcentral